This 357-nucleotide ribosomal RNA is filed under the name Triticum aestivum (bread wheat). RNAcentral describes it as "partial small subunit ribosomal RNA". The record is from RNAcentral. Lineage: Eukaryota; Viridiplantae; Streptophyta; Magnoliopsida; Poales; Poaceae.
AAGUGGAACUAUUGCGGGAUUGGCAACGAUUCAACAGUUCGAGAGCUACGCACGCUAGUGCAACGAUUUGCCCCCUUCGUGCUCUGUGUGCAAGAAACUCGAGUUGGAGGGACUCAUGCUAGGAAUCUAGCCUUUUCUUUUAGCUUUAGUAGAAGCUAUACAGUGGGUAGUAAUGGUAGAAGUGGAGGUCUUGCUAUGUACUGGGAUGAUGAUUUGUCCCUUGAGUUGAUACACUAUUCCCAAUAUCACAGAGAUACGAUAGUACGGAGGAAUGGAGAGGAACCGUGGAGACUCAGUAAUAUCUACGGUGAAGCCACCGUGAGCGAAAGGCGGAAGACAUGGGACUUGUUGCACUGA